Molecule: long non-coding RNA, 915 nt
Organism: Gallus gallus (chicken)
Lineage: Eukaryota; Metazoa; Chordata; Aves; Galliformes; Phasianidae
Source: Ensembl
AGGAGGAUGGAGAGAUUUAUGGAUUGUUGUUCUGUUACUGAAAUCAGAUUUCUUGGAAUAUUUGAGGUUGGUAAGAGGAAAUUCAGUGCGUUCUUCAAAUCCAAAGUUAAUGCAAGCAUUCUUGGACAGUUCUUGAAAGGCACACAGCCGAAGAGUUGUUCCACAGAAGACUUACUCGAAAGAGAGGACUGUAACAGUUAAGCAAAGAAGAGCCUAAGAAAUUCUUUACAAUCUUUUUAUUAGACCCGAGUGCUUCUAUAGUACUUCAUUUUUUAAUGCCUGCUUUGAACACUUGCACGUGCAAGGACUUCUGCCACCUCCAUUAUUUUGUGGGAGCAGAUAUCCAGUCCUCUGUGAACAGUGAAAAACAUUUAAAGAAAAAGAUAUAGUUUCCUGAAAUCUUCAAACUACUCUUUGAACUCAGAAGGGUAAAAACAAGCAGACAUCUCUUCCCUUCCUAACAGAGCUACCUCCAUCACCUUCAUACUCUUCUCCUUCUAUGGAGAUAUUCAAGACCUGUCUGGAUGCCUGUCUGUGUGACCUAUUAUAGGGUACCUACUUUAAUAUGAAGGUUCUACUCAAUGAACUCUUGAGGUUCCAUUCAACCCCUGCAAUUCUCUGAUUCUGUUAUUCUGUGAGAGAAUACCUAGAAAUGGUUAUAAAAAUGUUGUCAGAAAAUUUUCAUCCAAAAAGGUUGUUUUAACAGAACUGAUAAAACAACAUAUGUUGUCUCCAAUAAGAGAUGCUUUGAUCUAGAGAAACAAAUACUUCAUUAAUCAUAUUAGAAAAUGUUCUUAGUAAACUGCUCUGAUAUUUCAUUUUGCAAGUUAGUUUUGGCAUGUUUUCUAACUAACACAUAUGUAAUCAUGUAAAAAGUAAUAACAAAAUUGGAAAUAAAGAGCUUGGAAAAAAUUC